AUAAGUGUCAUAGCUCAUAUAUGAACUUACUGCUUGCAGGUAAGUUCAUAUAUGAGCUUAUGACACGCUGAAACAUGAGUAUGGAGAGAUUUGCGAAAGCAAAUCUCGAGAAUACGAAUGUUUCAAGGAUUGUGAGAGUUUUAGAAGAAACAGAGCAAUCCGUAU
This 165-nucleotide small RNA is filed under the name uncultured Eubacterium sp. RNAcentral's name for it is "Clostridiales-1 RNA". It matches the Rfam family "Clostridiales-1 RNA". The record is from RNAcentral. Lineage: Bacteria; Bacillati; Bacillota; Clostridia; Eubacteriales; Eubacteriaceae.